GGCCCCAUCGUCUAGCCUGGUCUAGGACAUCGCCCUCUCAAGGCGAAGGCACCGGUUCAAAUCCGGCUGGGGCUA
This 75-nucleotide transfer RNA is filed under the name Candidatus Omnitrophota bacterium. Its description in RNAcentral is "tRNA-Glu". It matches the Rfam family "tRNA". Rfam says of the family: Transfer RNA (tRNA) molecules are approximately 80 nucleotides in length. Their secondary structure includes four short double-helical elements and three loops (D, anti-codon, and T loops). Lineage: Bacteria; Pseudomonadati; Candidatus Omnitrophota. The record is from RNAcentral.